AGCGGGGAAUAUUGCGCAAUGGGCGAAAGCCUGACGCAGCAACGCCGCGUGCGGGAUGAAGGCCUUCGGGUUGUAAACCGCUUUCAGUGGGGACGAAUCAAGACGGUACCCACAGAAGAAGCCCCGGCCAACUACGUGCCAGCAGCCGCGGUAAUACGUAGGGGGCAAGCGUUGUCCGGAAUCAUUGGGCGUAAAGAGCUCGUAGGCGGUUCAGUAAGUCGGGUGUGAAACCCCCAGGCUCAACCUGGGGACGCCACCCGAUACUGCUGUGACUAGAGUCCAGUAGGGGAGUGUGGAAUUCCCGGUGUAGCGGUGAAAUGCGCAGAUAUCGGGAGGAACACCAGCGGCGAAGGCGGCACUCUGGGCUGGUACUGACGCUGAGGAGCGAAAGCGUGGGUAGCAAA
RNAcentral lists this ribosomal RNA (404 nucleotides) under uncultured bacterium. RNAcentral's name for it is "bacterial SSU rRNA". It matches the Rfam family "Bacterial small subunit ribosomal RNA", at positions 353 to 772 of the family's 1533-position model. The record is from RNAcentral.